UCCCUUUCAUGCAUUUUAGACCUUUACUUAUCGAAAAUACAUUAUCGAAGUUUAAAUGAAUACAGAAUUCGCAUCAAUGGUCAUACACAUGCCAUGUUGGGCUCAAAUGAAAGAUAAUUGGUAAAAUAUUUCAAAAAAUUAAGUUUGAAGAUAAUUCGUCAUUUUUUGGUCACGUGGUAUAUUUUCCAAAAGUCACGUGACUGUUGGAGAAAAAGUGAAAAAAUACGAAAUCCUUGGGCAAAAAGUCGUGCAGAGACAUAUUGGUGGGCUAAUAGGGUCAGGUUUUGAUGGAAACACAAUGCCUCGAGUCUGUUGAAGCCAUAUAAGUUAUCAUAGUGGUAUAAAUAGACGCAUAACGUGCUAUAGGCCUUGAAAUAUCGAUGUCCGUAACAUUCAAAAUAAUUGAUUUUAGACGCUCUUUUUGUCCGAUUUCAAACUUGGACCCUAGUUAUUUGUCUAAUUCGUUUUCAAUCAAUCAGCAACCUAAACUUUGUUUUUACAAGGGAAAAUUCAUUGAAUUACCAAUGCUAGCUCGAUCUGGGACACCCUUGACCGAGCCCGAUGGAGCAAAGGGGGGUAAAAAAGGGGGGGGGCAAUUUUGUGACACACAUUCUUUUAAAAAAAAAAUUCGUAGGUUUCCUUUUUGAAAUUGAAAGUAAAGUUAAGUUAAGUUACAUUUAAUAUAGAAAAUUAUUUUUCCAACUCCGGCAGUGAGAUUCGAACUCUCAAUCUUAGCGCCUUGGGAUAGAUCAGCGUACCCCUGCGCCACUGACAUUGUAGUGAAUUUAUCGAAAUUUAAGUACUUAAGUCUACUACUACGGAAAGAAAUUGAAAAAAAAAAUAAUAUAAAGAUUCUCACCCAGUUUGUUUUCUUUUUGGAAUUAUGUGUUCAGAUGAUAAUUUUUUGUUGCCAAAUGCAUGAUUUUUACGCAAAUCUAGGAGGAAUCCACUCUUUAAACUGUCAUUUUUUCAUUGAAAUAUACAUGUUUCUUUAUUCAAACAAAAGUGUUUUCAACUUUAGUAUACCGCAACACUUACGAAACCAUGUUUUGUUACAUCUAUUUCAACUUUGCCAAAAAAAUUCAGAAUAUUUU
RNAcentral lists this long non-coding RNA (1094 nucleotides) under Mytilus galloprovincialis (Mediterranean mussel). The record is from RNAcentral. Lineage: Eukaryota; Metazoa; Mollusca; Bivalvia; Mytilida; Mytilidae.